Molecule: long non-coding RNA, 844 nt
Filed under: Equus caballus (horse)
Lineage: Eukaryota; Metazoa; Chordata; Mammalia; Perissodactyla; Equidae
Description: lncRNA (ENSECAG00000048540.1)
Source: RNAcentral
GGCGAGCCCUCACUAGAAACCAACCCUGCAGGCACCUCCAUGUUGGACUUCUAGUUUCCAAAGCUGUGAGAAAGUGCAUAUCUGUUGUUUAAAUCAUCCAGCCUAAGUCCAGAGAGCCAAAUGAGUGUGGUGACGUUAUUUCCGGCCUCGUCAGCAUGUGUGUGAUCAACACGAUCACACAGAAGACCGCCGCAUCCAAGAAAGGAGCAAGGAACACAAAGACAUACUUCAGACUGAUUGAACAGAAGGCAAAAUUUUCAACGGACAUGAUAAUGCAACACUUCCAACAUGGAUACAUUUGUUAUAGGCCGAAAAGCUGCAUCAUAUAAUGAAAGGAACAGAAGGCACUUUCCUUCGGAAUGAUCCAAGUUGCUGGUUACGCAUCGUCCUUCUUCCUGCACUUGAAUGUUCUCUAAAAGAACUUUUAAACUCCACGAAAGAUCAAUAUUUGACAAUCUUAGUGAUAUUUUACUGAUACCAAAAAGGAAAACAAAAGCAUUGAGGGGUUACAUAAAAGAGUAACUUCUGUCUUUCCGGCAAGCUCUCCUUUGGUGGCUUUGAUAAAGCUAUAUGGAGAAGUCCGUGCAGGAAGAACUGAGAGCAGCUCUGGCCGAUGUCCAAAAAGCCACUGAGACCCUCAGUCCAACAGUCCACAAGAACUAAAUCCUGCCAACACUCAGAGCUGGUGAGUGGAUCCUUCCCCAACUGAGCCUUUGGAUGAGACCCUGGCUGACACCUUGACUGCAGCCUCGUGAGAUCUUACAGCAAAGAACUCAGCUAAGUCAUGACCAGAUUCUUGAAAACUGAGACAAUAAAUAAAAAAAUAAACUAUGUUGACCUAAGC